AUUGAACGCUGGCGGCAGGCCUAACACAUGCAAGUCGAGCGAGCGGCGGACGGGUGAGUAAUGUAUGGGGAUCUGCCUGAUGGCGGGGGAUAACUACUGGAAACGGUAGCUAAUACCGCAUACCAUCAGAUGAACCCAUAUGGGAUUAGCUUGUAGGUGAGGUAACGGCUCACCUAGGCGACGAUCCCUAGCUGGUCUGAGAGGGUGAUCAGCCAAACGGGAACUGAGAAACGGCCCAAACGCGUACGGGAGGCAGCAGUGGGGAAUGUUGCACGAUGGGCGCAAGCCUGUUACAGCCAUGCCGCGUGUAUGAAGAAGGCCGUCGGGUUGUAAAGUACUUUCAGUCGGAAGACGUUACCGACAGAAGACGCACCGGCUAACUCCGUGCCAGCCGCGCGGUAAUUC
RNAcentral lists this ribosomal RNA (405 nucleotides) under uncultured bacterium. RNAcentral describes it as "partial 16S ribosomal RNA". It matches the Rfam family "Bacterial small subunit ribosomal RNA", at positions 30 to 526 of the family's 1533-position model. The record is from RNAcentral.